UGGUAGUAUAAUACUAUGUUUGUUGUAAAAUGAGGGAGAAAGGUGUAUGGUUUUUAGGAUUUGAUUAUUUAUGUGUUUAGUUACUUUAUUAUUAUGGGAUUCAAAAGGUUUCAUGCACGUUAUUUUGCAUGUUUCGAAGCUUUUCAUAUAUCAAAAAGUUUAGUACAUAUGAAAUUAAUACGUAAUAAUUUAAUUUGUAUUGCAAGUAUAAUAUAAUUAAUCUCAAUGUGAUUGAACACUUACAUACACUCUCUCCCUUUCGAAAUAAAUAUCAUUUUUUUUGUUAAAAAAUGUCCUUUUUAUAAAUUUUAAUACUCUAUUAAUAUUUUCUUUUCUAAUCUACCUUUUAUUUAUUUAGUAAUUUAGGCAUUAUAUAAUUAUCCUUCAACUAUAUUUUUAAUUUAAUUGGAACGCAAAAUAAAUAUUAUAUAAAUUAAUUUUUAUAAAUUUUAGACUAUAUUAAUUUUUAUAAAUUAAUUCAAUUAAUUUUUUUCUUAGAAAGAGAAAAAGAAAAUAAUAAAAACAAAAAGACAGCGCACGUGAAGCAUUAGUGAGAUAAGGACUGGACCUCAGUUUGCAUUAAAGGAAAUGGGCCGACGGUGCCAAAAAAAUUAACUUCUGGACCGCUUGCAUACAAUUUAACAUAUCCCCAUGUAUUAUGUAUGUGAUUACUUCGGCCUACCAUGCAUGGACCCGGUCCGUGGGUGAGGAAAUAAACUCGGUUUAAACUGUCAACAUGCAUUACAGUCUAUAAGUAAAUUUAGAAAAAGAAAAAGAAAAAAGAUAAAUUUAUUUCCCCUAUGAUACGUUAUUUUAAAUUUAUUAUAAAUAAAUUUCAUGUUUAAUAUUAGAAGAAAUAUAAGAACAUCAAAAGUAGGCACACGUUUUAUACACUUAAUUAAUAGGUGAUGACAAUUUUUUUUUUAAAAAAAUACAUCUUUUUAUCAUUCUUUUUUUUCAAUAAAAAACAUAAAUAUAAUUUAUAAUUAUAUAAUAUUAGGAAAAGGCACCUAAACUCGAUAUAUGUAUCCAUUUAUAUACUAAAUAAAAGUCCAAUGGCAUUUUAGUUUAAAUGAGGGUAUUUUCGAUCAUGCAUUAAAAAAAAAAAGGAUAAAAAAGUGAUAUUUUAUAAAUAAAAAAAAUGUAAUUGGCUUAAUAUAUGAGAUCACCCAAGAAAUUUAAAAACGUAGCAUUUAUACUAAUAUUUAGAAUUUAAAAGAUUUUCUUUUCAAAAAAAAUAAAAUAAAAGAUUUAAUUAUGAAAUCACACGCUAUCUAACGUGUGAUGAAAUGCUAAUAAAGUAGUGAGUGUAAUUCCUUUCUUGAAAAAAUGAACUUGCUAAAAGUCUUUCGAAGUCGAUGGUUUUAUAUUACAAUUUGGUACUAUAUUAUUAUUUGAAUUGGUGAUUGUAACCUUACAAUGAUCACAGAUGAAAUUAAAAUAAAAAAAAAUGAUGAAAAAUAUGAUUAUAUAUAGCGAUUUCUUGGAGGAGGAGAGUCAAUAUUCCAUGCUAUAUGUGUAAAUAUUGUCUUGAUUCCGAGAAGAGAGAGUUAAAGAUUGUCUGAUCUCCGACAGCGAUAACAGGUUUGUUUUUGACAUUCAUUAUCUAUUUUGCUUUCCAUGUAUAAUUAGUUAGAUAGAUCUGGAAAAUGAUAUUAUUAAAUUUUCAUGAAAAUUAGAAAGUAGAAGCUCUUCUUUUUUUCUUUUUUUUUAUUUUUAUUUUUUUAUUUUUUAUAUUCCAGUCGUUUCCAAGUUCUUAGAGAUUUGCUUCUUCAAAUUUUAUUUAUUUUGAAAACUAAAAAACGAACAAAAGAAAUUUUGUUAAUCUAUAUUCUAUCAUAUUAAAUGAUUAACUAUCAAAUCUCAUCCAUUCAUUUACACAAAUCAAGCAUAGGUGUACUCAGAGCAUGGAAUUAAUCCUUUCUUAGUUCCUAAUCCACUCAAAGUAUACAAUUUAAGAAACAAUUAUAUGCUGCUUAAAUCUAAAACUAUUAAAACAGAUCUACGCCUAUAGACUGUUAGAGAUCGCCCGUAUCUCAACAAAAAAAUUGAGAACAGUUUACAAAAUAUGUUUUUUUUUUUUUUUUUUUUUUUUUUUUAUUGUUGAUUUUAAAUUUGAACUGUUUUAUCAUUGUUAUUGAUUUUAAAUUUAGAUUACUUUAUUAUUAUUGUCGAUUUUAAAUUCGGAUCGUAACUGUAUUGAUUUUAAUUUUUGAUAAUUUUAUUAUUAAGUUUUUGCUUGAAAAAAAAAUGCAAAUAAAAAAAAGCGCAAAAUUUUUUUUUUUUAAAAGAUAGGCAUGCUGUAAGUUGCAUCGAGAUUGAAUAUUGGAGAUCCGUUUUUUAAUGAGUUUUUUUUUAGCUCGACCCGUUAUGGGACCGACCCCGCACAGUCCAGGCUGCCCGAUUUGGCCGGGCUACUUGAAUCAUAGCAAUUAGCAUUAUUUGAUGGCAAAUAAUAAUAAUAUUAUUCAAACGUAUUUUCUCCAAACAUGUGCUUAUUCUUAAAACUUCCCACUUGUUAGCAAUGUAUAUAACCCUAAUUUUUAUUCUGACAGGAUGUUGUGUGAUCAUAUUAUUAUUGAUGUUGAAAAUUUAUCAAUUUCCAUUGGCAAGGAUCUGGAAGCUUUACAUCCAUUAUCAGUCGAAUGUUGCAUUUAUAAAGUGCCUAGGACACUGUAUCGAUUAAACGAAGUGGCCUACACACCUCAAGUGGUCUCCAUCGGUCCACUUCACCAUGGCAAACCAGAGCUAAAGUUAAUGGAGGAACAUAAAAGAAGAUAUACGAAAGAGUUCCUUCAACUCAGCACUAGUAGUGUUAGUGUGAAAGAAUAUGUUGAAUUCAUAAGGAAGAGGGAAAAAAGGUUGCGCAAUUCCUAUGCCGAAACCAUUCUACUUAAUCCUCAAGACUUUGUGAAGAUGAUUUUAACAGAUGCUGCUUUUCUAAUUAUGGUGCUCUUGAAAUUUAGUUGCCCAGAGCUCCAAAGUAGCAACGAUCGUAUAUACUCGAGACCAUGGAUGUCAGGCGAUGUUCGGUAUGAUAUACUGUUGCUCGAAAAUCAACUUCCAUUCUUUAUCCUUGAGGAGUUGUAUGAUGUAUCUGGUAUACCUAAUAAGCUUCAAAAACCUGGACUUUCCAUGAUCCAGCUUGUUCACUCCUUCUUCAAAAUUAAAUGGGAUCAUUGGGUGUUAGAUGAUGUAUUGGAGAAACAGAACUUUUUAGAAACAAAGCAUCUACUUGAUUUUCUGAGGAUCUGUCAGCAACCAUUAGCUGGAAAUAAAAUAAAAUCAGGUGUCAAAUGGUAUGCACCUAGUGUUACAGAGCUUUACCGAGCAGGAGUCAAAUUUGAGUUGGCGUCAAGCAAAAACCUUCUUGAGAUUGAGUUCAGAGAUGGCAUUUUGAAACUUCCAGCGUUGAAAAUAACAAAUAGGUCUGAAAUUUUAUUAAGGAACCUACAGGCAUUUGAGCAAUGCCAUUGCCAAGACAAAUAUUUAAAUGACUAUAUUUCAUUGAUCAGUAGUCUGGUUGAGACAGCUGAAGAUGUCAAAAUAAUGGCUGAAAAUGGAAUUAUACAAAAUCGGCUACGGAAUAAUGAUAGUCUGUCAACUCUUUUUAACUAUCUUGCCAGAGGAAAUCUUGUGUCCAGACACAGCUUCUACUUCUCCAAUAUAGUUGAAGCUCUUAAUCUGUAUUGCAAAAACCCUUGGCACAAGUGGAAGGCAACCCUCAAACAGGAUUAUUUCAAUAAUCCAUGGGCAGGGAUUUCUGUUCUUGCAGCUUUUAUUCUUCUCAUGCUUACUGUCGUACAAACUGUGUGUUCCCUACUGCAAAUUUAGAUUCUACUCUACUGUAAAAUGUGUAUCUUUUUCUGAAACUGUCCCAAGUGAAAUGUAUCGCAAUAGAGAAGCAUUACUACAGGAUCCUUAUUGAAGAAUUGAAUGCGUACUGCAAAAUCCCUGGCCAUAAUCCCUGUCUUCCCAGCAUGUGUUCUUCUCAUCCUCACUAUGAUCCAGACUGUAAGAUCUAUCAUUCAAUUGUAAACUCUAGAUAUAUCAUUUCAUGGUUUCUUGAUUUAGUCUAUAAUUGAUUUCUUAAUUUUUUAUUAUUAAAACAAUUAAUCUGUUAAAGUCCUACAUUUUUGCUGCUGCAGACGUGAAAUUAGAGUGAAAUUUUCAGCUAUAAAACAACUAAGUUUGAUGAUUAAAUCUAAACCAAAUUUAAAAUUUAUGCAGAUUUUAACAAUUUUCACAUUUAUAAAAGCCAGAAUUGGGUUGAGCAACAAAAGGCCCAAACAAAAAAUCUGUCGGACUAGGCCCACUGUAUGGAGAUCCUAAUAAUUUUCAGUUUCACGCCCAAUAAGAAAAUAGCAUCUACAAGGUAAAAAAGCACGUGGCAAAAAUUUUGUUUCCGUGGAGAAAUAAAUAUCUAAAAACAACCUAUAUGAGACAGAAUAAGUGCUUUAUUGAACAUCGGAAAUUGCUUGCCUACUUCAGCUCCAUAGAAGACUCGAGGGCCAAAGUCUUUCUAGUCAACGACAACUUAGCGUUAUAUCCAUACGAAGAUUGUAACCUUACAACGCCAAAAAAAAAAAAAAAAAUAAAAAAAUAUAUAUAUAUAUAUAUAUAUAUAGUUCAAGAUUAUAUAUAUAUAUAUAUAUAUAUAUACAUAAAGAUUAUUCAGAUUCUUGUUUUCCUCUAGUAUUAUUAGUUCAAGAAUUUCCACUUGUAUCCUUCAAAAAGAAAAAAAAAAAAAGAAUUUCCAGUUGUGAAACACUCUGAUUAUUCAGAUUCUUUCCCUGUUAAACUUUCAAUUUUUUAAAGAUUUAUUUAAAUCAUAAGAUAAAGCUUGUUCUGUUUUUCACUUCAGUUCCUGUUCUGUUUUUUCACAAGGAGCAUCAGAAUUUCUGGAUCACAGAAUUUGUUUUUUCAUCCUCUCUCAUACUUGGCUUCUUCUUUAAUCCGAAUUACAUUCUCUGAGGAAUUCUAAAUGAGUAGAUGGAAGAAGAAAAUAAUCAAGUUCUGAUUGAUAUUUACGAGUUAACAAAAAUUGUGAGCAGAGAGUUGGAAACCGUGCAGCCAUUAUCUGACACUUGUUUCAUCUACAGAGCUCCCAAGCGACUGCGAGACUUGAAUGAAAAGGCCUACACACCUCAGUUAGUCUCCAUUGGUCCCUACCAUCACAGCCGAAAAGAGUUAAAACCCAUGGAUGAGCAUAAAAGAAAGUACUUGCAAUAUUUUCCUGAAAGAAGCAAGGUAAAUAUGGGAGAUUCGAUUCGAGUUGUUGCAAAGAAUGAAACAAGACUGCGCAAUUGUUACGCAGAAAUCAUUAAUCUGACUAGUCAUGAAUUUGUGAAAAUCUAAAGGAGGAGUGUUGUGAUAUUGAAACUACUGAAACCAUAAAUAUAAGUAAAGUAAAUUCUUAAUUUUAACAACUUUUUCACGUGUUUGAGUGUGAGGUAGAGAAUCCUCUGCUUUUCUUUUGUUGUUGAGUUUGCUUGUUGUGUUUGUAAAGGAGAAAUUCCAACAGCUGCCAUGAUUCUCUUACUUAAUUAGCCAACGCCUCUUUUGGAGAUUAAUUCUACUUGUAAUGAUUAUAUUUAUUAAAUUUCCAGUUCAUAUAUGUAUAUAUAUGGUUGGAUAGCAAGCAAAUCCUCCCAUCAACUUCUCUUUGAUAUUUUUCACACUGCUGCGUGUACUUUAGAAGAAAAAAAAAGGGAAGAAAAACCAGUCUUAUAAUUCCUGCAAAGUCUAUAUAUAUCUAGAAGGUUUUUUAUUACUCCCCAUUAGUUCUUUGGAUUUCAUUAUCAAUUAGUAUUUAUUUGGUUGUAUUUUGAACAAGAAAAAUUGUAAAGGUAGCUAUAAUUAAUUUUUGAAAUAUCUGAUGAUCGCCUGCAGAUGAACAACGAAGAAGAAGUUGAUGUUGAAGAGUUAGCAAAGUGUGUGAAGAAGGAGCUGGCAAUGCUGCAACCUUUAUCAGACAAGUGUAGUAUCUAAAAAGUUCCAGAAAAAGAAAGAAAAUUGAAUGAAAAGGCAUACACACCUCGAGUUGUCUCCAUAGGCCCUCUUCACCAUAGGAAAGAAGAGCUCAGGGCAAUGGAAGACCAUAAAAGGAGGUACUUGCUGGAUUUUCUUGAAUGGAGCCAUUCAAGUAUGGAGGAUAUGAUCACAUGUAUCAAGGAAAAUGAGAGAAGAUUGCGUGAUUGCUAUGCAGAACCAAUUGAACUCGCAAGUGAGAAAUUUGCGAAAAUGAUGUUGGUAGACGCUGCCUUCCUCAUUUCUCUUUUACUUAAAAAAGCUCUCCCAGAAUUUCAAAGCAGUAGUGACCGUAUAUUUAACAAACCAAAACUGAUUCUUGAUAUAAGGGUUGACAUAUUUUUGCUGGAAAAUCAGGUUCCGUUUUUAUUCUUGUGGAUUUGUUUGAGCUGUCUAAAAUAGGUGUACGUGAGGAGGGCGUGCUGAUCUCUAUGAUUGAGCUCACUCAUUUUUUCUUUGAAGGUAGACGGGGUUCUUGGGUGAGAGAGGACAUUCUACAGCUACAAGAUUUCUCUCAAGUAGAACAUUUUCUUGAUUUUUGAAGAAUUUGUCAGCGACCGCCAAAGCCUAAGCCCUCAAACGAAAAAAUAAUAAACCUAGUGGCACCAACAAUAACGGAGCUCCAUCAUGCUGGUGUAAAGAUUGAGUUGCAUUCAAGCAGAAACAAACUGGACAUUGAAUUUGAUAGUAAAAAGGGGAUUCUAAAAAUCCCACGCUUUAAAAUGGAGGAGGCAGUAGAAAUUCUGUUAAGAAAUCUACAGAUAUUUGAGAAGUAUCAUUUUCAGGGCAGAGACAAGUACGUGAAUGACUACGCGUACAUGCUUGCUCAGCUUAUCAAAUCUGAUAAGGAUGUGGAAACACUAGAGCAAAGAGGGAUUCUAGAAAAUUGGAUGCAGAACAACCAAGCCGUGGCAACAUUUUUAGGUAGCAUUGACUGUGAAGUCGAUCGUACGAGGUUCUACUUUUUUCCAAUUCUUGAAGAUCUGAAUUCGUAUUGCAAAAAUCCUUGGUACAAAUGGAAUGCCAACUUGAGACAAAAUUAUUUUAACACUCCAUGGGCUGGGAUCUCAGUUGCUGCAGCUGCUUUUCUUCUCUUUCUCACUAUAAUUCAAACUGUGUGUUCUAUCCUUCAACUGUAGGCGUGCCUAGGCUUUAGCUAUGUCUAAUUCUCUAUUUCUGUUUAGUGAAUCUGGGUUUGCUCUUGUAUUGUGCGUUAAAAAUUACUCCAUUUAUCCAAAAAAAUAUAUGUGAUCUUUGAGUAAUUAUUUGAUUUUUAAAAUAUAUGUCGUUUUUUAAUAUUUGAAUAAGUAAUAAAUGAUAUUUUUUUAAUAUUAUCUUUAUUUACAUUAAAUGCAAUAAUUAUCUAGACAAGUAAUUAUUGAUUUUGAGAUAAAAAAUAAUUUGAUCAAAUUAUUUUUGAUUUUAUAAUUAGUCAAGAGAAUUAAUUAUUUUUUUAAUUUUUAAAAAUUUUAAAUUUUGGAAUAGAAAAUAACUUUGUCAAUGAACAGGUGUUUGGUUCUUGUGUGUAAAUGUAAGAAGAAGAAAAAAGAUGCGGUAACGUAAUGAACCACAUAACAUCAAUAAAAAAUUGCCACCCAGAAUUAUGUCGGGUUUUAUCGCCUUGCUGGCCAUGGUUAAACUUUGAUCACUCCUCGGUUAACAUUCUACAACGUGUCAUAAUCUUCCAGUGAAAUGGAAAAAACUUACCACCUCGUCCAUGGCUCCAUACGUGGACCAAAAUAAUAAGAUCUCAUUUGUAAUAAAUAAUUUUCAUAAAAUUUUAUGAAAUGUAUUAAAAAUUAAAUUUUGUGUUUUGGAAUAAAAAAGUAUAGAUUUAAUUUUUAUAAAUUGAAUUUUAUGAAAUUGAGCAUAUUUAACUCAAAUUUUACUAAAAUUGAUAAAAUUCAUAAAUGAAUUUCACAAAAUCGAUCAUUAAAAUAUUUUGAUAUAAAUUCAAUUAUUUUUACUUUUUCUUCCUUUUUGUUUAUUUUCUUUGAAAAAUUCCUAUAUAAUAAUAUUAUUUUUUAAUCCAGUAAUAACGCUAAUUUUUAUUUUUAUUUUUUUUCUUUGAAAAAUUUCAAACUAGUAAUGACGUUUUUUUUUAAGUAUAGUAAUAAUGUUAGUUAUUAUUACUAUGAAACUAUAAAAACUGAAUAUAAUAAUUAUUUUCAAAUGUAAUUAAAAACAAUAGUAACAUUCUUAAUAUUCUUUUUAGUUUUCAAAUUAAUUACUUAAAUCAACAAAAGUUUUUACAUCAAAUAAAAAUAAUUAUUAUGAUUAAUUUUACUGAUUCUAUAAUUAAUUAAGUAGCUAAUUAAUUAAUUAGCAUGAAAUGUUAGUGUACUUAUUUAUAUGAAAUUUGUUAUUUAUAUUUUAAUAAAAAAUGACAAGUAAUUAUAUUGUACAUAAUAAAUAUAAUUGGUGUUUGUUAUUUAUUUUUGUUAAAUUAUUAUGUCAAGGUGUUAUAUGAAAUAAAGAGAAAUGAAUUUUAAUUUAAGAAUUUAUUUCAAACAUAAUUUACGGAAUUUAAUUGAAUUUCUUAUUUUAAAUUGUAGCAUACUAAAUAUGAUAAAUUCAUUUGGAAAUUCCAAAUGAAUUCUACAAUUAGAUUCAUUUGUUCCAAACAGGUAAUAAAAAUAUACUUCCUCUGUCUUAAAAAUAUAGUCUAUCUUUUUUUUUUUUUUUGUCCUAAAAUAUAACCCACUUUUCUUUUAUGCAUUAUAGUUAAUCCUUAAAUUGUCCACUAUACCCUUAUUAAAUUUUAUUUAUUUUCAAUAACAUUCAUUAAUUCUUACUUAUUAUUUCAUAUAAUAAAUACUCAUGUCUUAUUUAAGACGUGUAUAAUAAGAAAGUUAUAUGCAUAAAAUUUCCUUUAACCAUAAUAACUAUUAUUUUUUAAUCUGUAUCAAAAUAGAAAGUGGACUAUCUUUUUGGGACGGAUGAAGUAAUUUUUUUAAAAAAAUGAAAGUAUUUAUGACCAUAUACUUAAAAAAAUAAAAGAUUAGUUAAAAACAAUUUUUAAAAAAUAUUUAAUUUCAUUUAUUUGAUCUAUAAAUUGAAUCAUAAACCCGAUCUGGACAAGUAUUUUUCAAAGUUAAGAAACUUGCAUAAUGUGAAGCGAUGAACUUAUACAACAUCUGUAUACCAAACCAAGUUAUAAAAACAAUUUUUACUUGCAUAAUUUUGACCAUUUAUAGAAAAAACAGUAAUAAUUUCUUAAAAACCCUACAUUAAUUAAUAAUUGUCAUAACGACUACAUUAUAUUUAUGAAUUUACUUGCCAAUUCUCCGAAGAAAGUGGAAUUACUGGUUCAGAAGGGACUUCUUGUAAGUUUGUUACAUGAUAGGGGUGCCAAAUCUUUUUGCCAAACUGGGUGCGGCAUGUUUUAUCAGCAACUCAGCAUACAUACUACAAAAUCGAGAGAACAAUUUUCUAAAGUUUCGAUUCAUAUUCUAUUUUUCAAAUGUUUGAAAUCCCAUCUUCUUUCUUUUUAUCUUUUUUGACAAUCUCUCCAUUUUUCCAAUAUCUCAGACGGAAAGGGCUUUGAUAUUAGUUGAAUUCUUCUUUUCUGGUGGACUAAUUUGUUUUUGUUCAUUCAAUAUUCUUUUCGGGUGUGUUUUAAAGUUUCUCACAAUCUUUUGAUAUGUAUGUAAGUUGCUCGAUGAAAGGUCCGCAUUGAAACUCUCCUAAUACAGAAGUGGUAGCUAGGUAGACAUCCUGUGUCAUAACGCAUUGACACCAUUUUGAAGAAGAUUAAUACCAAUAUGGAUCCUGACCUUGAAAUUCUGGAACGAGAAACUCGUGCUUUUAUUUCCGAUCCCAGCCCAGGGGUCUGCUGUGAUGGAGUUGGAUAAAUUAGAAAUUAAGAUUUUUUUUAUGAUCCAAAAAAAAAGGAAAACGAAUGGAGCGGCUGGUCUUCGUCUCCACCUUUAGAACAUGAAAUAAAGUAGAUGCUCUGCAAGUAUAUGCUGUGGCGUUGUGGGCUGGAUGGAUAGACAUCGGAAACUAUGAAUCCCACGUCUUGACAAAUGAGAACACUGGACAGAAAAAAAAAAAAACCGAAAUUUCCCGAGUUGGAAAACUCGAGAAAUUCCUAAGAUGGGACAAAAAUUGCAGCUUGUUACAUAGAAUAAAACGCUGGUCUCCUUCAAUGCGAUUUCUCCAUUAACUGCGAAGAAAUUAUUAUACAAGUUCCUUUGGCGAAGAGAGAAUGUCUUCCUGGACAUAUAAAACUGUGCACAAGAAUGGACAUUGUAGCUGUGCCCAAUUCCAUCUCAUCAACAUCUCAGGUCAAGCCGUCUCCUGUAUCUUAAUCAAGGAGCCAAGUUUGCUCUCACAGUGCUUUCAGGAUCUCCUUAAUGGUGCAAGAUAACAGGGUUAGCACUGUCCUCUUUAUUUUUAACUUAUUUUGAACGAAAAAUUUAUUCACAUUUUCCCUUGGCCACUAAAUGUGAAUUGUCAUCAUUUUGGUUGAAGAUUUUAAUUUCUUUUCUCAGUUGGAAUGUAAUUAUACUAACUGUUAUUGACUCUUAUGGCUAGUUAUCAUGGAGGUUAGUGUAACAUCAACUGAACAGAUCAAGAGAAAUGAUGAAGUUUUACUUGAUGUCAAUGAACUAGCAAAGUCUGUGAGAAGCGAUUUGAAAAACUUGCAUUCUUUAUCUGACGAUUGUUGCAUCUCCAGAGUGCCCAAACGACUGCGCCAGUUAAAUGAAAAAUAGUACACCCCUCGGGCAGUCUCAAUUGGGCCCCUUCCCCAUGGCAAAGAGUUAUCCAGAAACAGUUGGCUUGAACAGUGAGGAUUUUGUGAAAAACAUAUUGAUAGAUGCUGCCUUCAUCAUUAUGGUGCUAUUGAAACAAAGUUUGAAAGAAUUUCGAAGUAAGAAAGAUAGAGUAUUCAGUAAACCAUGGAUGAUAGGUGAGGUGCGUUUCGACAUUUUGUUGCUCGAAAAUCAGCUUCCAUUCUUCAUUCUGGAUGAUUUGUUUAAGCUAUCGAAUAAACCUCCUGAGGGUCAUGAACUUUCCAUUAUUAUGCUUACCCAUAACUUCUUUAUUGAUACGUUUGGCUCCUGGGUGGCAAAGCGCAUAUUAGAUAAACAUGAUUUUUCUAAAAUAGAACAUAUGGUCGACUUUCUGAGGAUUUGUCAACAGCCUCCAAAAUUGCAGAACAGAAAGAAACUCAAGAAGUUAACUGUACCCAGUGUUACAGAGCUCCUUCAAGCUGGAGUCAAAUUUGAGUUGGGUUCAAGCAAAAAGUUACUCAACAUAAAAUUCCAAAAUGGUGUUUUGGAAAUUCCGCCAUUACAAAUAGAUGACAAUUCUGAAAUCUUGUUGAGAAAUCUCCAAGCCUUUGAGCAAUGCCUUUGCAACCGGGACAAUUAUGUAAGUGACUAUAUUACUCUGGUCUCAAUGCUUGCCAAGGGUCCUAAAGAUGUGGAAAUACUUGCUCGAAAUGGAAUAAUGGAGAAUUGGCUAGUGAAUAGCGAAGGGGUGUCAACUCUGUUUCAGAAACUUGUACAGGAGAACCUUCUCUUUCCUGAUGACUUCUACUUUUCUUCUCUUGUUGAAGAUCUGAAUUCAUAUUGCAAAAACCCUUGGAACAAGUGGAAGGCAACCUUGAAACAAGAUUAUUUCAAUACUCCAUGGGCAGUUAUCUCUGUGAUUGCAGCUGGGUUUCUACUCAUAUUCACUGUCAUACAAUCCGUCUGUUCCAUCCUUCAACUGAUAUAGUAGGUUCUACUAUUUCAACUUUUUUAUUUCUUUUAUUAAUGUUGGUUCCUUUAUGUCUUGUUAUAGUUCUUUUACAAAAAAAAAAAGGGCUUCAGUACUGGAGUAAGCACAUGCACUGUUAUAGAGAUUCACUUGGUUUUCAAAUAGGAGCAGAUAAAUAAAUAUAGGAGAAGAUAAAUUUAUUUAACUUUGUAUUUAAAAUGGCGUCCACCAAUAUUUUCAGAUUUCUAAAGCUGACAAUUCCUUCUGACAUACCUAUAAAAUACUAAGAAUUACCCUCUUCAUGCAUAGCUUGUCAGUGAUGAAGAUUUGAAGAAUCAGAGGCAUAGAUAUAAAACUUAAAAACUAAAAAAAAAAAAAAAAAAAAAACCAGCCUGACUUGCUUUCCCUAAUUUACUCUUGGCGCGAAUCUGAACAGACACUAAUUUUUAUAUCUGCUUCAACCCAUCAGAAUGGGAUAAUGAAUGUACUCCUAUGGGGACAAGAAAAUAAAUGAAGCACUUUAUUGCCCUAUUAGGAUAUGAAUUGGCUUUCUGUGUCCUCUUCCCAAAAUGGUUAAGCUUGAAUGUUAAAAUAAACAGUAUAAUAUUCAUCUCUGAAGCUCAGUAAUGGAGCCAGAAGAUAAUUCCGAUUUGCUCCCUUUGCUACGAAAAUGAUCGGAUGAUACUCGCUUAUUCCGUUGUUCAUUACAAAGCUGGCUCCCGCAUUAAAUUUAGCGUCUGAUGAUUCUGACUUGCAGCUAAGCUUCAGGCUUGUUCCUGACUUAUAAUCCACACCGCUAAACACAAAGCAAUCCUCUUGGCUUGCUGACUCCAUUGAUAUUGUUCCUUCCUUUCCAUCCAAUCCAGAAACUAAGCGGAACAAGGAUGAUCCAUCGGUACCAUCAGAACUUGCAACUGCAAGGUUGACAUCUUUUCCUUGCUGUACUAAAAACAUUCCUGAUAGACUAAACGGUUCUAGCAUGACAUAUUUUCCAGUAGCAUCUUUAACUGAUGAUGGUUUUGGGGAAGAAGAUUCAUUCAAGACAACUCUAAAAGUGGCAUGAACAGAUUUACUACUGCCAGAUUCAGGGAACUUUUCCAUUGUAAUUGAUUGAUUCGAGUUUGUCAAGACAAAAACUGAAUUUCCAUAUUCUUGGGAAAAAGAUACUAGGUGAUUAUUAUAAGUGGCAGGAAUUGGAGUUAUCCAGUCCGAAAGAGAGUUGACUGAUCUAGAUCGGAUGUCCCAAUCACCACUGCUAUGACCAGCAAGCAGGUAAGGACCAUAAAGUAUUGCCUGAAUAGAAGCAUACUCAGACCGGUCGUCUGAAUAUUUAAUCAAAGGUCAUACAGAUUAUAUAAAAUAUUUAGCAAGAAUUCGCAUAUGUAUGGAAUAAGUUUUACCAUGAAAAUACCUUUGAUAGAUUCUGUUCUUAAACUGAUAGGCAACUGAAGGGUAAUUUUGUCACCACUGCUCCAUUUUCUAGUGAUUGAUAAGAAAUUACCUGCUCAGGCAUAAACUAUCAAAUAUGAAUCCAGGUUUGCUCCAAAACAUGCCAUGGAAAAUAAACUCUCCUAUUAGAGAAAGGUGUAUGGUUUUUAGGAUUUGAUUAUUUAUGUGUUUAGGUACUUUAUUAUUAUGGGAUUCAAAAGGUUUCAUGCACGUUAUUUUGCAUGUUUCGAAGCUUUUCAUAUAUCAAAAAGUUUAGUACAUAUGAAAUUAAUACGUAAUAAUUUAAUUUGUAUUGCAAGUAUAAUAUAAUUAAUCUCAAUGUGAUUGAAC
RNAcentral lists this long non-coding RNA (13518 nucleotides) under Jatropha curcas. RNAcentral's name for it is "long non-coding RNA (JCUR_LNC003211)". The record is from RNAcentral. Lineage: Eukaryota; Viridiplantae; Streptophyta; Magnoliopsida; Malpighiales; Euphorbiaceae.